This 285-nucleotide unclassified non-coding RNA is filed under the name plant metagenome. Its description in RNAcentral is "partial contains small subunit ribosomal RNA, internal transcribed spacer 1, and 5.8S ribosomal RNA". The stretch from base 1 to 54 matches the Rfam family "Eukaryotic small subunit ribosomal RNA", at positions 1778 to 1831 of the family's 1831-position model. The record is from RNAcentral.
GAAAGUAAAAGUCGUAACAAGGUUUCCGUAGGUGAACCUGCGGAAGGAUCGUUAUUGUAUAACCGAGGUGCGAGGGCUGUCGCUGACCCGAAAGGUCGUGCACGCCCGAGUGCCCUCACACACAUCCAUCUCACCCCUAUGUGCACCACCGCGUGGGUCCCCCUUUGGCUUGUUCGGAGGGGGGCUUACGUUUUCACACAAACUUUGUAUGCAGUGUAGAAUGUAUUUUUUGUUUUUGCGAUCACGCAAUCAAUACAACUUUCAACAACGGAUCUCUUGGCUCUC